AGAGUUUGAUCCUGGCUCAGGAUUAACGCUAGCGGCAGGCCUAAUACAUGCAAGUCGAACGGCAGCGGGUCCAGCAAUGGAUGCCGGCGAGUGGCGCACGGGUGCGUAACACGUAUGCAAUCUACCUUUAACCGGGGGAUAGCCCCGAGAAAUCGGGAUUAAUACCCCAUAAUAUUACGGGAAGGAGUCUUUCUGUAAUUAAAGCUCCGGCGGUUUUAGAUGAGCAUGCGCGACAUUAGUUAGUUGGUGAGGUAACGGCUCACCAAGGCAGCGAUGUCUAGGGGUUCUGAGAGGAUUCACCCCCACACUGGUACUGAGACACGGACCAGACUCCUACGGGAGGCAGCAGUAAGGAAUAUUGGUCAAUGGACGCAAGUCUGAACCAGCCAUGCCGCGUGAAGGAAGACGGCCCUACGGGUUGUAAACUUCUUUUGUACGGGAAAAAACCACCGGUCGUGCAUCGGUGCUGAUGGUACCGUAAGAAUAAGCAUCGGCUAACUCCGUGCCAGCAGCCGCGGUAAUACGGAGGAUGCAAGCGUUAUCCGGAUUCAUUGGGUUUAAAGGGUGCGCAGGCGGAAUGAUAAGUCAGUGGUGAAAUCCUACAGCUCAACUGUAGAACUGCCAUUGAUACUGUUGUUCUUGAGUACACUUGGAGUGGGCGGAAUGUGUCAUGUAGCGGUGAAAUGCUUAGAUAUGACACAGAACACCGAUCGCGAAGGCAGCUCACUAAAUUGUAACUGACGCUCAGGCACGAAAGCGUGGGGAUCAAACAGGAUUAGAUACCCUGGUAGUCC
RNAcentral lists this ribosomal RNA (794 nucleotides) under uncultured bacterium. Its description in RNAcentral is "bacterial SSU rRNA". It matches the Rfam family "Bacterial small subunit ribosomal RNA", at positions 8 to 796 of the family's 1533-position model. The record is from RNAcentral.